This 323-nucleotide ribosomal RNA is filed under the name uncultured eukaryote. RNAcentral describes it as "partial 18S ribosomal RNA". It matches the Rfam family "Eukaryotic small subunit ribosomal RNA", at positions 1470 to 1796 of the family's 1831-position model. The record is from RNAcentral.
CCCUUAGAUGGUCUGGGCGGCACGCGCGCUACAAUGAUGCAUUCAAAAAGUCUUCUGACCUUAGAAGGUUGGGUAUUCUCCAAAGUGCAUCGUGAUGGGAAUAGUUUAUUGCAAUUUUUAAUCUUGAACGAGGAAUUCCUAGUAAGUACAGGUCAUCAACUUGUGUUGAUUACGUCCCUGCCCUUUGUACACACCGCCCGUCGCACCAAUUGAUUGGAUGACUCGAUGAAAAAUCAGGACUGAGAUUUCUUUUGCUUCAUUGCAGAGGAAGUUUUGGGAAUCUUUUUAAAUCUCGUUAUCUAGAGAUUGGUGAAGUCGUAACA